Molecule: ribosomal RNA, 62 nt
Filed under: uncultured bacterium
Lineage: Bacteria
Description: partial 16S ribosomal RNA
Source: RNAcentral
GGUUCUUGGACGAGGUGGCGCCUAAUUGGCGCUAUCGAACCUGGGUCGAGCGAACGGGGAGG